Molecule: ribosomal RNA, 499 nt
Filed under: Heterocarpus woodmasoni
Lineage: Eukaryota; Metazoa; Arthropoda; Malacostraca; Decapoda; Pandalidae
Description: partial 16S ribosomal RNA
Rfam family: Bacterial large subunit ribosomal RNA (bases 133-499)
Source: RNAcentral
UCGCCUGUUUAUCAAAAACAUCGCCUGUUUAUCAGAAACAUCGCCUGUUUAUCAAAAACAUCUCCAGUGAUCGAAGACAUCGCCGGUUUAUCAAAAACAUCGCUGGCUUUAUAUAAAUAUUUGCAGUUUACUUUUAAGUGAAAAGGCUUAAAUAAGUUAGGGGGACGAUAAGACCCUAUAAAACUUUACAGAUAUGAUUAUAUUUAUUAAAAUGGAGUUUAAUAGUAUUUAUUAUUUUAUCUGUUGUGUUGGGGCGACAAAGAUAUAAUAGGGUAACUGUUAGUUUUAUUUAAUAGUGAUAAUUAGUUUAGUUGAUCCUUUAUUAGAGAUUAUAAGAAUAAGUUACUUUAGGGAUAACAGCGUAAUUUUCUUUAAGAGUUCGUAUCGACGAGAAUAGUUGCGACCUCGAUGUUGAAUUAAGAUUUCCUUUAGGCGGAGGAGUUUAAACGGUAGGUCUGUUCGACCUUUAAAAUCUUACGUGAUCUGAGUUCAGACCGGA